AUGCUUUCUAUACUGGAAUCUGAACAUGAUGAGGGAUUGAAGGACAAAGAUGAUGCAUUUAUGAGUGUAGAUGCAGAGGUAGAUGCAGAAGCAGAUGCAGAAGCAGCGGCUGCAGAAGCAGGAGACGAAUCAUUCUUACGUAGCAUCAUUGAAGAUGAAGAUGCCGAAGCAAAAGUUGGUGAAGGUGCCAAUCCAGAAGCUGCUCAAGAUGACAAGCCAAAAGGACGGAAGCAAAUGGCGUCAAGAUCACAAAUCUGGGAGCAUUUUACCAAAGUUUUUGAUAACAAGGGGUUAGUAAAGGAAGGAAAAUGCAAGUAUUGUGACCGACCAAUUCAAGCUACUACAUCAAUCAAUGGAACAACAGCAAUGCGCAGGCACUUUGGUACAUGCAAGCGCAGUCCGAAUAAGAAAAUGGAUCCAAAUCAGACCACUUUGCAAGCAACUCCAGGAGAUGGCAUUAAUACUUGGAGAUAUGAUGCAGAAAAAGUUAGGAAGGCAUUUGCUGUGAUGGUCAUAGAGGAUGAACUGCCUUUUGCAUUUGGUGAGAAAUCUGGAUUCAGAAAGUUCAUUUCAAUCGCUUGCCCCCGCUUUACUCCACCAUCAAGAAGAACUUGUACUAGGGACACUGUCAAAAUCUAUCUAGAUGAGAAAUGCAAGUUGAAAAAGUUUUUCAAAGAGAAUUGUGGAAGUGUGUGUGUAACCACUGAUUGUUGGACUUCUCAGCAGCAAGAUGGCUAUAUGGUAGUGACUGCACACUUUGUUGAUGAAGAGUGGAAGUAUCAUAAGAAGAUUAUUAAUUUCAUUAUGGUGAAGGGCCACAAAGGGAAGGAUCUUGGGAAGAACUUGCAGAGAUGUUUGAUGGAAUGGGGGCUAGAGAGAGUUAUGACAGUCACCGUGGAUAAUGCAAGCAAUAAUGAUGGCUGCAUUGUUCACUUGAGAAAGUGA
Molecule: ribosomal RNA, 945 nt
Filed under: Triticum aestivum (bread wheat)
Lineage: Eukaryota; Viridiplantae; Streptophyta; Magnoliopsida; Poales; Poaceae
Description: partial small subunit ribosomal RNA
Source: RNAcentral